Molecule: ribosomal RNA, 159 nt
Filed under: Cercospora kikuchii
Lineage: Eukaryota; Fungi; Ascomycota; Dothideomycetes; Mycosphaerellales; Mycosphaerellaceae
Description: 5.8S ribosomal RNA
Rfam family: 5.8S ribosomal RNA
About the family: 5.8S ribosomal RNA (5.8S rRNA) is a component of the large subunit of the eukaryotic ribosome. It is transcribed by RNA polymerase I as part of the 45S precursor that also contains 18S and 28S rRNA.
Source: RNAcentral
GAAACUUUCAACAACGGAUCUCUUGGUUCUGGCAUCGAUGAAGAACGCAGCGAAAUGCGAUAAGUAAUGUGAAUUGCAGAAUUCAGUGAAUCAUCGAAUCUUUGAACGCACAUUGCGCCCCUUGGUAUUCCGAGGGGCAUGCCUGUUCGAGCGUCAUUU